AUUGAACGCUGGCGGCAGGCUUAACACAUGCAAGUCGAGCGGGGUGAUGGUGCUUGCACUAUCACUUAGCGGCGGACGGGUGAGUAAUGCUUAGGAAUCUGCCUAUUAGUGGGGGACAACAUCUCGAAAGGGAUGCUAAUACCGCAUACGUCCUACGGGAGAAAGCAGGGGAUCACUUGUGACCUUGCGCUAAUAGAUGAGCCUAAGUCGGAUUAGCUAGUUGGUGGGGUAAAGGCCUACCAAGGCGACGAUCUGUAGCGGGUCAGAGAGGCAGAUCCGCCACACUGGGACUGAGACACGGCCCAGACUCCUACGGGAGGCAGCAGUGGGGAAUAUUGGACAAUGGGGGGAACCCUGAUCCAGCCAUGCCGCGUGUGUGAAGAAGGCCUUAUGGUUGUAAAGCACUUUAAGCGAGGAGGGGGCUCUUUUGGUUAAUACCCAAGAUGAGUGGGCGUUACUCGCAGAAUAAGCACCGGCUAACUCUGUGCCAGCAGCCGCCGUAA
Molecule: ribosomal RNA, 503 nt
Filed under: uncultured bacterium
Lineage: Bacteria
Description: partial 16S ribosomal RNA
Rfam family: Bacterial small subunit ribosomal RNA
Source: RNAcentral